This 503-nucleotide ribosomal RNA is filed under the name uncultured bacterium. RNAcentral's name for it is "partial 16S ribosomal RNA". It matches the Rfam family "Bacterial small subunit ribosomal RNA", at positions 30 to 523 of the family's 1533-position model. The record is from RNAcentral.
AUUGAACGCUGGCGGCAGGCUUAACACAUGCAAGUCGAGCGGGGUGAUGGUGCUUGCACUAUCACUUAGCGGCGGACGGGUGAGUAAUGCUUAGGAAUCUGCCUAUUAGUGGGGGACAACAUCUCGAAAGGGAUGCUAAUACCGCAUACGUCCUACGGGAGAAAGCAGGGGAUCACUUGUGACCUUGCGCUAAUAGAUGAGCCUAAGUCGGAUUAGCUAGUUGGUGGGGUAAAGGCCUACCAAGGCGACGAUCUGUAGCGGGUCUGAGAGGAUGAUCCGCCACACUGGGACUGGGACACGGCCCAGACUCCUACGGGAGGCAGCAGUGGGGAAUAUUGGACAAUGGGGGGAACCCUGAUCCAGCCAUGCCGCGUGUGUGAAGAAGGCCUUAUGGUUGUAAAGCACUUUAAGCGAGGAGGAGGCUCUUUUGGUUAAUACCCAGAAUGAGUGGACGUUACUCGCAGAGUAAGCACCGGCUAACUCUGUGCCAGCCGCCGCCGUAA